RNAcentral lists this long non-coding RNA (2450 nucleotides) under Olea europaea subsp. europaea. Lineage: Eukaryota; Viridiplantae; Streptophyta; Magnoliopsida; Lamiales; Oleaceae. The record is from RNAcentral.
AGGUGGGGCUUGCAAAUGACAAUUUGUGAGAUCGGAGGUCGGUGGUCAACAUGUUAUAUCUUGAAUGUCAUAUUCUAAAUUAAAUUGACAUACAAAUACUAUCAAAUCUUGAGUAAUUAUGUGUGGAUGUGAUAUUAUAUAAAUCUAUCCUAUAACUUAAACUUGUUAAGAACCUUACGUAUCUGAGGGAUUGAACUAUAUAAUCUUAAUAUAUAAUUACAAAAGGGGAAAAAUAAAAAUCCUUUGUUUAUAUUCAAUAAUUAAAUAUUUAAAGAAUCCAGCUUUUCUUCAAUUACGAUUAUACAAAAAUAAGCAUACUAAAUUUGAUAUGAGGUAGCCAUUUUCAAUCAGUACAAUCAUUGAUAGCUUCCCUUUUCCUUUCUGGACAUAAAAAGAUACUUAGCAUAACUGAAAAGAAAUUAGAUAAACAAUAUACGUUGGAAUAAACGAUGUUAAAUGUGAUUGAAAAAAGCAGUGUAAAAUGUUUGUUCAGUACUAUGUUCAAUUCUAUCAUGUCCUGAGUAUAAACAUGUCGCUCAAGUGUGACAAGAUUUGUAAGUGUUAUGCUCUAAGUCCAAUUAACCUUGGACAUAAACACUUUUGAUAUAUAAUUAAUGCAAUUUAAUGACAGAUAUAUUAUUUAAUUAAUAGACAAAUUAAAUUAAAUAAUAGAGUCCGUAGAUUCAAAUUUUCGUAAUUUGUUAAUCACAAGGAGUUGUGAUUGUGAGAUACAAAUUACAUAUGAUUGAAUCUUAAAUCGCUUGUGAUUGUAAGUAAUAACAAGAUACGAAUAUCGUUAUUUACGGAUAGACCAUCACGUGUGACAUUUCUUACUUGUGAAGUAACUGAUCUCACAAGCUAAAGUGUAGUGACACUUAAAUGAAUACGUGGAUAUUUUGUUAUAGAACAAAACAUUGGAGACCGCCGAGAGAUUCCACAUGGAUAACUAUCUGAGUGUCAGUGGCUAAUCUCUAACGUUCGGUAGUGGGAUUGAUCCUUUUGACUUGAGGUCGUCAUAGUACCUUAUAUGAGAACAAUCAUUGAUAAAUGUAUUUUAUACACUUAUUCGGGGCUCUAAAAUGGUGGUAUUUGAUAACCUUUUGACAAAAUAUAUCCUAAAUUAUUGUGUUUUACGUUUAAUAGGAGGAUUUCUAUGAAUGAAAAGGAAGUGAAGGAAAGAAGCAAAAACGGGCGAAAAUGGCAAAAUCAAAAAGUAAGUGGAUCAAAUUGGCCAAUGGAUGGAAGUUGGGGAUCAAAUUUCACACUUUGUAAAUUAAAGGAAUUGAAGAUAAAUAAUGCAUUGGAAUUCAAAUUUGGGCUUCAACUCGUUAUUGGACAAAGUUUAGUGGCCUAUGGGAAUUGCAAAGGAAUCUGUCGGAAGUGGAAAUAACACAUUGGACCAAAAUUGGACUUGUUUGGAAUCAAAAUUUAAUCAUGCCUUGGACCCCUAAUUGGGCUACAACAAGGGCUUAAUUGUUGAGGUAUAUAUACAAACACAUGCAGCAAAGAAGAAAGGAGCCAUGGGGGAAAAUUAGAAUCUUUUUUUUUUUUUUUUUGGGGAUUAUUCAAGUCAGCGGCAACAGAUUGAAGCGGCAGGAAAUUGAGUGGCGGAAUUUCAUAAAGUCGGCCAGCUUUGGGAUUAAUAAUUCGGCCAGCUGCUGGUAGAGAAAUUGGUGGGCUGCAAAGUGACUUAUACACAUAUAUACUUUCCACAAAAUGCAACUGCUGGGAAGGAAUUUUAUUUUACACAAACACACCCACAGAUUGAGAAAACGGCUGGGAAUAAAUUACAAACCCACACAGAAAACCAAAGCAGGAGGGAAGAAAAAGAAAUUCACAGCAACAGAAUUUAUAUACUUAGAAAACGCUGCUGUGGAGGAGAGAAUUGUGGGCUAAAUUAUAUAAUAUACAUCUCAAUCCUCACACAAAAGCGAGGAGGCAGAUUGGAGAUUGGCGAUUGUCGGCUACGUUGGGAACAAAACGGGGGAAUUACGGAGACAGAAAUCAAGAGACCCGAAGACGACAAACACAAGGAAGCCACGGACUACUGGAGUAUAAUUGAAAUUAAUUACGAAUCGUCUAUUUCUCGGUGAUGUCGUUCUACUUUUAUGCAUUUAAUUCCAAUAAUAUGCUAGGCUAAUUUCCUUCAUGUAUUGGAUGAGACGAAUCCUAUUGUUUAUUUAUUUCUAGUUCAAGACAAGUAAUUUAGUUUAAUUCUUGUGUUUCUUGAUUAAUUUUGCAUUCCCAUUGCACUAUUGAAUUGUUUAGCCAUCAAUUGAAUAGUUAGUUGCUUGUUGUAGUGUAGGAAUACUCACAACGAGUCUAAAACGCGUCAAAAUUAACAUGUAUAAUUAGGAUUAGGAAUAAUAUCUAUCAUACAUGCAAUCAUAUAGAUAACUUGAACUAAAUGCGUGAUUUUCAUAUGAAUUCGGACUAGGAAUAGGAUCGAG